RNAcentral lists this ribosomal RNA (407 nucleotides) under uncultured bacterium. RNAcentral describes it as "partial 16S ribosomal RNA". It matches the Rfam family "Bacterial small subunit ribosomal RNA", at positions 28 to 526 of the family's 1533-position model. The record is from RNAcentral.
GACGAACGCUGGCGGCGUGCCUAAUACAUGCAAGUAGGACGCAGUUGCGAACGGGUGAGUAAAGCGUAGGUAAAUGCCUAUUAGAGGGGGGUAACUAUUGGAAACGAUAGCUAAUACCGCAUACUAGUAGAUGGACCUGCGUUGUAUUAGCUAGUAGGUAGGGUAAUGGGCUACCUAGGCGACGAUACAUAGCCCACCUGAGAGGGUGGUCGGGCACACCUGGACUGGGACAAGGGCCCUACUCCUAAGGGAGGGAGCAGUAGGGAAUAUUCGGCAAUGGGGGGAAACCUGACCGAGCAACGGCGCGUGAGUGAAGAAGGUUUUUGGAUCGGAAAGCUCUGUUGUUAAGGAAGCGGUACUUAACCAGAAAGCGACGGCUAACUACGUGCCAGCCGCCGCGGUAAUAC